This 406-nucleotide ribosomal RNA is filed under the name uncultured bacterium. RNAcentral describes it as "bacterial SSU rRNA". It matches the Rfam family "Bacterial small subunit ribosomal RNA", at positions 976 to 1381 of the family's 1533-position model. The record is from RNAcentral.
UAGCCUUGACAUAUUUUAGAACUCCGUAGAGAUACAGAGGUGCCUUCGGGAGCUAAUUUACAGGUGCUGCACGGCUGUCGUCAGCUCGUGUCGUGAGAUGUUGGGUUAAGUCCCGCAACGAGCGCAACCCUCGUCACUAGUUACUAACGGUUCGGCCGAGGACUCUAGUGAGACUGCCUUCGUAAGGAGGAGGAAGGUGAGGACGACGUCAAGUCAUCAUGGCCCUUACGGCUAGGGCAACACACGUGCUACAAUGGCGGGGUACAAAGAGCAGCCAACUGGCGACAGUGCGCGAAUCUCAUAAAACCUCUCGUAGUCCGGAUCGGAGUCUGCAACUCGACUCCGUGAAGUCGGAAUCGCUAGUAAUCGUGAAUCAGAAUGUCACGGUGAAUACGUUCCCGGGCCU